This 436-nucleotide long non-coding RNA is filed under the name Solanum tuberosum (potato). RNAcentral's name for it is "long non-coding RNA (STUB_LNC003380)". The record is from RNAcentral. Lineage: Eukaryota; Viridiplantae; Streptophyta; Magnoliopsida; Solanales; Solanaceae.
ACCAACAACUUCAACAACCAAAAUAAAUAUUUUCUUGGAAUUAAAAACGAGUUGGUGUGUGGGGGUAUAAACCAACCAACACUAAGGAUCAUCAAUCUCUCAACAUACAAUAAAUUACAACUCAAAUACACAGCCCAAUCCUGUCCCACAACCAACAAUAACUUCAACAACACAACUAACAACAUCAACAACAACUAACAACUUCAACAACUUCAACAACAACUAAAAAUCUCUUCUCAAAUCAUAAAAACGAGCUUGGUAUGUGGGGGGGAAGGAUAAACCCACACUAAAGACUCACAUACCUUGAUAGGGAUCACCCCCGACGAAAAAUCCACGAUGAUCUCCUUGAUUGCUCUUCUCUUUCUCCUCUUCCUUCUCUUCUUUCUCUCUUCUCUCCCAAGCCCUAGCUCUUUACUACUUUAAAAAAAAAUGAGAC